CCCCUGAAACCCCUUCAUCCCCAAAUCCUCUCUAUCCCUCUCCGAAACCCUAACCUUUUCCACUGGUUUCCACCUUAUGUCAUUGGAAACCAUGGCAUCUUAGGCCAUGGGUUGCAUGUACUCACCCCCACGUGCCCUUAUACUCCUAUUACGUGAAGUUUCAAGGUCCGGUCUUGAAGAACCUGGCUCAAAGUUCCUCCAAUUCAGGUUCUAUGGCCAUCUCUGGCUCAUCUCCGGUGUGUCCUAGCACUACGAGUUCAUCUAUGACUCGUUUGAUUCAGACAAGCCCCUUUUCAGGCCUUUCUCAUCAUCUAGGGUUUCUCUGAAACCCCAAGCCAUUUCGAGGUUUUCUUGUUUCUCUCUAGAUCUGCUUUAGGUCCGUGCUAUUUCUGAGGUUUUCAAAGUAUUUCUAACAUCAUUUCAAGUUUUUGCUUUCAAAACUGUCUGUCUUCUUGAACCUAGGGUUUCCUUGAUUUUUACUUGUUCUACCAUGAUUUAUUAUGUUAUUUUACUGUAUCUUGCUUUACGGUAACUCCAAAGAGUUGUCACCAUGAUUUCCAUGAGUUUUCUUUCAUUGUGAUUCCUCUUAGUGAUUUCUUUUACUGUGUUUUCUUUCAUUAUGCUUCCAUGAAAUGCUAAUGUUCUUUGGACUUUUUGAGUUUAUUUUGCCUAAUUAUCUAUGCUUUUGUCUUUACAAUCCGUGCUAUUUCUGAGGUUUUCAAAGCAUUUCUUACAUCAUUUCAAGUUUUUGCUUUCAAAACUGUCCGUCUUCUCAAACCUAGGGUUCCCUUGAUUUUUACUUGUUCUACUGUGACUUCUAACGUUACAUUACAGUAUCUUGCGUUACUGUAACUCCUAAGUGUUGUCACCAUGAUUUCCAUGAGUUUUCUUUUACUGUGAUUCCUCACAGGGUUUCCUAGUAAUUUCUUUUACUGUGCUUUCUUUCAUUUUGCUUCCAUGAAAUGUGUAUGUUCCUUAGACUUCCUGAGUUUACUUUGCUCGAUUUUCUAUGCUUUCAUCUUUAAAUUUAAUAUGUGGAGGAAACCCUAGGUUAUUGGGGGUUUCACACCACUUAUGUGCAAUUGGGUUGCUUCCUGUUUGAUUUAGAAACCCCAAUUUCUAAAAUUCGUCCCAUUUUCUCUGAUUCUUGUUAAGCUUUGCAAGACCUUUUGCCUUCUCUCAUAGCUAUGUUCUUCUACUUUUGAUUUCAUGACCACUCGAUUGUUUAAUUCUAGCCUUGAAUGUCUUUAUAGUCAGACGUUUUCCCCUCAGAAUAACCUUAAUUUUUGGGGAUUGAUUUCAAACUACUAUUAUGUGAGCUUAUUUGAUUCUUCCCUUGUCCAAUUUGGAUCUGUUUUCUAACUUGAUUCAUUAUUGAGUUUGAAUCUUUAAUUCCUUGAUAUACUAUGUGUUAGUUGAUUUUAUUCUUACCUUAUUUACCUGAACCGCGUAUUUGAAAAACUUCUCUUAUGUAUUUACCCUUUAUUGCACAAUGUGCUAUUGAUUUUCCUUCCUUAAAUAAAAACCUGCCCUAUACUAUUCAAUGUCGACUCCUUAGUUAAAGGAAUUCCUUUCUCCUGAUUAAUUCUGAUUGAUACUGAAUUAUUUUUUGCCUUGCUUAUUUACCUGGUUUCAAACUAUGAAUACCCUACUCUUUUUCUUUAAACACACGAACAAUUGGGUUCAAACACACACACACUCAAAGCUUCUCUUCUGUGCUUUCUACUGAGCAUUCUAUACUGCCUGCUGCUUGAACUCCUACACAUUUGGGAGUUUUCAUGAGUCUGUUCCUAUUUAUUUCUGGUUGUCUGUCGGCUGCUAUUAGUCUGCUAUUCUAGAAUUAUAACGGGUAUGCCCUUCUAUGUUCUAUAAGCAUCCUUAUUCAAUUUCUCUGCUUCUAUCCCUUUCUUUGUGUGUUCAUUUAUGCUUUCCUGCACUAUUUAAUUACUUUCAAGCAUGUUAAUUCCUUUUCCCUAUUCCCUUUGUAUGUGAGUUUGUCCUUGGUCAUAACAACAUUAUGAAUUGGUGUAUGUGAUUCAGGACUAGACUCUUUUGAGUCUCUACUCAAUUGCUUUCCCAUUCCCUUUUCCCCAAUGUGCUGAGCUCUAACUUGGGUCUGUUGGUGUCCUGAUCAUCAUCCAGGCCUGAGUUUGACUCUUUAAGAGUCUACUCUUAUUUGUCUGAAUCUGAGUGGGAGGUUAGGGGUGUGCCAGUCUAUGCCAUGACUGGGUAUGACCACCUUCUGCUGAGGUUUCUCUCUCACUUAACACCUACUCCUAGUUCUUAAGUUCUACCCCCUAGGGUAAGCCAUGCUUAGGGACCCUAGAGUUCCCUCUGAACUUGGAUGCCUAAGGGCUGGUAA
This 2362-nucleotide long non-coding RNA is filed under the name Nicotiana benthamiana. RNAcentral describes it as "long non-coding RNA (NBEN_LNC037553)". The record is from RNAcentral. Lineage: Eukaryota; Viridiplantae; Streptophyta; Magnoliopsida; Solanales; Solanaceae.